AUGAUUCUACUAGAAAGCUGUCUGUGACAACCAUCUUAACCUGGACGACUUUUUUGUGGAUACUUUAAUGUGAAUGUAUUUCCAGGCCAUAGUAAGCUUGUGGGUUGGUGCUGUGAUUAGUAGCUGGUGCAAUUUCAUAACUGUCUUGUAUGUUGGUCAUUUUCUACUAGAGGAGGACGAUAAGUUUCUAGAUAAGGUUUGAGCUACAGUUCAGGAAGAGGAAUGUCAAGCCCUUGCUGCAUUUGGUGCCUGUUUCCAAUAUUAAUAAUUGUUUGAAGAAGCAUUUUCGAGACCUUUAAAAUGUCGUGAUCUUUGAAUUUAUAUAAUUCUGUUUGGUUGCAGUUAAUUUUACAAGCGUGUUUUCAUUGUUGGUGGAAUCAGACUUGAAUAAUAUGGGAUUUAUGUGCUUUAAGAUAUGAAUGGGAUUUAUUGUUGCUUUAAGAUA
Molecule: long non-coding RNA, 445 nt
Organism: Cucumis melo (muskmelon)
Lineage: Eukaryota; Viridiplantae; Streptophyta; Magnoliopsida; Cucurbitales; Cucurbitaceae
Exons: 2
Source: RefSeq, a predicted model, not a curated record